Molecule: ribosomal RNA, 497 nt
Filed under: uncultured bacterium
Lineage: Bacteria
Description: partial 16S ribosomal RNA
Rfam family: Bacterial small subunit ribosomal RNA
Source: RNAcentral
GAUGAACGCUGGCGGCGUGCCUAAUACAUGCAAGUCGAGCGUACAGACGAGGAGCUUGCUCCUCUGACGUUAGCGGCGGACGGGUGGGUAACACGUGGAUAACCUACCUAUAAGACUGGGAUAACUUCGGGAAACCGGAGCUAAUACCGGAUAAUAUAUUGAACCGCAUGGUUCAAUAGUGAAAGACGGUUUUGCUGUCACUUAUAGAUGGAUCCCCGCCGCAUUAGCUAGUUGGUAAGGUAACGGCUUACCAAGGCAACGAUGCGUAGCCGACCUGAGAGGGUGAUCGGCCACACUGGAACUGAGACACGGACCAGGCUCCUACGGGAGGCAGCAGUAGGGAAUCUUCCGCAAUGGGCGAGAGCCUGACGGAGCAACGCCGCGUGAGUGAUGAAGGUCUUCGGAUCGUAAAACUCUGUUAUUAGGGAAGAACAAAUGUGUAAGUAACUAUGCACGUCUUGACGGUACCUAAUCAGAAAGCCACGGCUAACUACGUG